Molecule: long non-coding RNA, 218 nt
Filed under: Malus domestica (apple)
Lineage: Eukaryota; Viridiplantae; Streptophyta; Magnoliopsida; Rosales; Rosaceae
Description: long non-coding RNA (MDOM_LNC020107)
Source: RNAcentral
AAAGCAAUUUUUCAAAUUUUUAUGUGAUUUUCGGAGUUAUAAGUCAGCACACACUAAAACACACCAAAACAGCCUAAAAAACACCUAAAAACAGCAAGAAACAACAUUGGGAAGUAUGAGUGAGAAAACCCUACGAAUUUGCAUCAAAACACUUUGGUUACCCCCCCACACUUAAACCAAACAUUGUCCUCAAUGUUUCAAAGCAUAACUAACACAAA